Molecule: ribosomal RNA, 468 nt
Filed under: uncultured eukaryote
Lineage: Eukaryota
Description: bacterial SSU rRNA
Rfam family: Eukaryotic small subunit ribosomal RNA
Source: RNAcentral
CACUAGCGUAUAUUAAAAUUGUUGCAGUUAAAAGCUCGUAGUUGGACAUUUGGUCUUGAACCCUCCCGUCCCGGAGAGAUUUGAGGUCCUUCCUUUGGUUGGAACUCGUCUCAGGUAGGCCGGAUGUGGGGUCGACCAUUUCCUCUCGCACUAAUCUUUCCGGAGGGGUGAAAGUCUCUUUGAUGGAAGGAGCGAUAGAGGCAUUACUUUGAAGAAAGGAAAGUGUUUAAAGCAGGUAUUCGUCGUGAAUCUAGUAGCAUGGAAUAAUAAUAUAGGACCUCUGUUCUAUUUUGUUGGUUUAUUGAAUGAAGGUAAUGAUUGAUAGGGAUAGUUGGGGGUGCUAGUAUUCAAUGGCCAGAGGUGAAAUUCUAUGACCCAUUGAAGACUGACUACUGCGAAAGCAUUCACCAAGGAUAUCUUCUUUAAUCAAGAACGAAAGUUGGGGGAUCGAAGAUGAUCAGAUACCGU